RNAcentral lists this ribosomal RNA (467 nucleotides) under uncultured bacterium. Its description in RNAcentral is "partial 16S ribosomal RNA". It matches the Rfam family "Bacterial small subunit ribosomal RNA", at positions 28 to 506 of the family's 1533-position model. The record is from RNAcentral.
GACGAACGCUGGCGGCGUGCUUAACACAUGCAAGUCGAACGGAAAGGCCCUGCUUUUGCGGGGUGCUCGAGUGGCGAACGGGUGAGUAACACGUGAGUAACCUGCCCUUGACUUUGGGAUAACUUCAGGAAACUGGGGCUAAUACCGGAUAGGAGCUCCUGCUGCAUGGUGGGGGUUGGAAAGUUUCGGCGGUUGGGGAUGGACUCGCGGCUUAUCAGCUUGUUGGUGGGGUAGUGGCUUACCAAGGCUUUGACGGGUAGCCGGCCUGAGAGGGUGACCGGCCACAUUGGGACUGAGAUACGGCCCAGACUCCUACGGGAGGCAGGAGUGGGGAAUAGUGCACAAUGGGCGGAAGCCUGAUGCAGCAACGCCGCGUGCGGGAUGACGGCCUUCGGGUUGUAAACCGCUUUCGCCUGUGACGAAGCGUGAGUGACGGUAAUGGGUAAAGAAGCACCGGCUAACUACGU